RNAcentral lists this ribosomal RNA (252 nucleotides) under uncultured bacterium. RNAcentral's name for it is "partial 16S ribosomal RNA". It matches the Rfam family "Bacterial small subunit ribosomal RNA", at positions 524 to 776 of the family's 1533-position model. The record is from RNAcentral.
UACGUAGGCAGCAAGCGUUGUUCGGAGUUACUGGGCGUAAAGGGUGCGUAGGCGGUCCUAUAAGUAUGGUGUGAAAUCUCCCGGCUUAACUGGGAGGUGCGCUAUAGACUGUGGGACUAGAGUGUGGGAGAGGAAAGUGGAAUUCCUGGUGUAGCGGUGAAAUGCGUAGAUAUCAGGAGGAACACCGGUGGUGUAAACGGCUUUCUGGACCAUAACUGGCGCUGAGGCACGAAAGCGUGGGUAGCAAACAGG